Molecule: long non-coding RNA, 94 nt
Organism: Etheostoma cragini (Arkansas darter)
Lineage: Eukaryota; Metazoa; Chordata; Actinopteri; Perciformes; Percidae
Exons: 2
Source: RefSeq, a predicted model, not a curated record
AUCAUAUUCCUCUGUGCCUUCCUAUUUCUUAGAAGAAAGAGGUCCUCUAAACGAAUCACCGAGCAACGAGAGAGACCAGACAACCAAGCUCAGG